Long non-coding RNA from Labeo rohita (rohu), 2877 nucleotides. RefSeq lists it as uncharacterized. The record is from RefSeq and is a predicted model, not a curated record. NCBI's taxonomy places the organism in Eukaryota, Metazoa, Chordata, Actinopteri, Cypriniformes, Cyprinidae. The transcript is spliced from 2 exons.
GAUGCUCAGGUGGUCUGCAGGCAGCUGGGUUGUGGAGCAGCACUGAGGGCUGAUAGGAAUUCAGUCUUUGGUGCUGGUGAAGGUGUUGUGUGGCUGAACAGAGUCGAGUGCAGAGGGAAUGAGAUUCACCUGUGGGACUGUCCUCUCUCCCUGAAAAAACACACUGACUGCUCCAACAAAGAGCACGUUGGACUCACCUGUGCAGAUUUGUCAGAAUUUACUACUCCUGCCACAACAACAUCAGCUUCUCCUACAGUGCGCUCAACAUCAGUCACUCCUCCACAAACUCCUCCAGCAGCAUCUCUCUCCGUCCCCUCAGUGCUUGUGAUUGUACUGGUAGUUUUGCUCUUACUGCUCUUAGUGUCACUGCUUAUACUGAUUCACCAAAAGAGAGUGAUGAGGAGAGGUAGGUAGGAGAUCCAGUGUUAUAUCUGGCUCAGAGAUGUAACAUUAAGGGAGACUACAUGGCGGAAUAGCUUCAAACACAAUAUUUAUUACAAAAAAAUAAAAAUAACAUAACACAGAACAGCAGUAUCAGUAGGUUCAAUUAGUAAGAAAUGCAAGUGAAUAGAUGCACAAUGAACUGUGGUCAGUGCUUAUGAAUGGAUGCAAAACAAAACAUAAUGCUACAAAAUUGAAGCGUAGCUCUGGCAAACUGCCCAAGCAACAAUGGAUCAGCGAUGCCGACAAACUCUCACAACAUGUUUAAAUAAGUCUCACAAAACCUUCAAAAAUGAACCCAAAACACCCAACCCUACACAACUCAGUCCUAACACACACCCCCUUAAAAAUCAUUCUCAAUAACAGUAUAAUUCAUAAGAUAGGAAUUAAACUUGACAAAUAGCUAAUUGGGUGAAUAAUACCACCAGACUGAGUCUGGAGAAGAACCGCUCCUGCACCCACUUGACUUGAGACCACUUUGGGACGCUGCUAAUACAAAAGCCGCCGUCAACAGCAAGUUCAACAGCAAGUCUCAAAUGCCUUUUGACAAUGUGGGGUCCACUCAAACUUAGCGGAGUUCUUUAAAAGAUUAGUCAAUUGACAAAUGACCGAUGAAAAAUUGGGGCAAAAACUGCGAUAGUAACUGACCACCCCGAUAAACCUCAUGAGCUCUUUUUUAGUACAAGGGAAAUUCUCUAUCCACCUCCUUUCCCCAAGUAAGAAACCGUUGCCCAUGCAAAGUUACGUUUGCCUAAAUGUAAGGUCAAAUUAGCCUCCGCCAGACACCAAAAUAAAUAUCGGCCAUCACUGUAAACUGUAGACCAAUUAAACAUUCAGGAUGCGCGCGCAGCAUGGUUGCAGAAAACCCGGGAGAGCUUGCCUUUACGGCUAGAGAAUUACAAGGAUACGGUACAAAAUACUUAGAUUUAAAACGAGUAUAGAUUAUAUUAAUUAGAUGUCAUUUUCAAAAUGUUAUUCGCAUAUUACAAGAGUUUGUCACCCAGCGAUAAGCACUGUUAUUCAGAGAAAUUGACGUUAGGGAUGAGGUUUUUUGUAGGCGGUUUAAGUGGCAGUCUCCGGAGCCAUGGAAUAAAAGAAUAAAAAAAGUUAAAUUUUGAUUUUAUAUUUUAAAAUUCUGACUUUAUUUUCGCAGUUCCGAAAUUAUAUCUCACAACUCUAGAGGAAAAACAACUCGUCAUUCUCCCUUUUCCCCUCGCUUAGAGUUUCUAUCCCACAUUUCUGGCUCCCCCCCCUAAAAUUCCUGUAGUGUGAGUCCGGCUUAAGUCAGUGGAUUUCAAUCCUGGUCCUGGGUGACCCCUGCUCUGCACAUUUUGCAUGUCUCCCUUAUUUAACACACCUGAUUGAGAUCAUCAGCUCGUUAGUUCAGUUCAUGGAUCUCUGUCCUAAUAAGCUGAUGUCUGUCAGGUUUGUCUGUCUACACUCACAGCUCUUUCUGACUGGUAUACAGGACUACAAAGGACACAGAAGCUGUUUAUCAUGGCAUUCAUCACAGACAACAUCACUCAGAGGGGUGAGGCAUCAUGUAAGAAUGUUAAAAGCUGUAACUAUAACUACUGAUAAAACACCUGAGAAAAAGAAAGCCAUCAACAGCAAAAUACCAACAGCCCCUCAUUAAGUUGCAUUACAAAAUUUUGGGACUCCAGUCAAAUGAGAUUAAAUUAUGACUUCAGAGAUCAAGAUCUGAUUCACUGUAGAAUUAAGGCUUUUUCUAACCUUACUACUAAUCAAUUUUAAUCAUAUAAAAAGAUUUAAAAAUAUUUAAAUAAGUAUCUCCACUGAGAAUGUCAGAUGACUGUAACUGUAUAUCUUUCUGGGUUAUUAACGUAUAAUCAGAUGAACGUGUAACCACAUCGCUGCAUGUUUAUGUGUGCAUCAGUGAAUGUCUCUUCCUGUGUGGUUUUCGAGAGUGAAGCAGGAAGUGCAUUUGUAGAGUUUGCAAAGAUAAAAAGCUAACUUUGUUCCCCAAACACAAUUUAUUUUUAAAGAAGUUAAAAUAUGAUGAUUGCAUUAGCACUUUUAAUCAGUGGCGGUUUAUUGAAACCACCUGACUGUUCAACAGGUGCAAUAAUACAGACCAACCACAAAACCCUAACCCUAACUAAGACUUAAACUGCACUGAUAGAUGCCGACCAACAGCAACAGACAUGCUUGUCGGGUUUUGUUAGAUCAUCGUUUCUCUCUGUCAGUGUCUCUUUCCAGUGUCCGUUAGUCUUCAUUUGUUUCUAUGAAGUGAAUAUGUGUGAUCUGCAUUUGUUGAGUCAUGGAAAGUCUGAGCUGUUUGGUGAGCUCAAUCUGAUGAUUAUCUGUUGAAGUGUGAGAAUUAACCCUGAUAUACAAAAAGCUGGAUAAAUGGGUUGUUCACACAGAAUGCAUUGCAGUUAAAAAAAAAAAAAAAAAAAAAGGUUAAAGUUUUAA